CGCAGCUCAGCGCCCGGCGGGUGCGCGGCGGGCUUGGGGUGCCGCGCGGUAGCGCACCCUCCUGCGCCCCAGCGGCCGCGGGCUUGCUGCAGCGCUUUCUUUCGAUGCAGAACGAGCCCCAGGCACCCCAGCAGGCCGCACGCUUCUCUUUCGCGGUGGAUGAGGUCGCCUGCAGAUCCAGGCUGGGCCUUAUGGGCUGCCCAGGCGGAGCGGGACUUCCCGGUCAUCGUCAUCCUCCGCUCCCCGCGCUCAGCCUGGCCCGAGCUCGGCUUCCCCAGCCCCUGUCCACCGCCCACCUGCUGAGGAGCAGCAGAGUGCUGUGUCACUCAGGAGUUGGGGACCCCUGACCCAGCCCAACCGCCCUCGUGCGCUGUGCAGAAAGCGCCAUUCUCCAUUUCAAGAUGCCUUUGCCGUUUUGACAGAUGCAAACUGACCCCUCUCGAGGCCACGGCAGAAGGGGAAUCGUGACUGUCUGAAGCCUGGAAGACUGCCCUCAAUUAAGGAAA
Molecule: long non-coding RNA, 506 nt
Filed under: Lynx canadensis (Canada lynx)
Lineage: Eukaryota; Metazoa; Chordata; Mammalia; Carnivora; Felidae
Description: lncRNA (ENSLCNG00005011071.1)
Source: RNAcentral